Molecule: ribosomal RNA, 460 nt
Filed under: uncultured bacterium
Lineage: Bacteria
Description: partial 16S ribosomal RNA
Rfam family: Bacterial small subunit ribosomal RNA
Source: RNAcentral
CCUACGGGAGGCAGCAGUGAGGAAUAUUGGUCAAUGGGCGGAAGCCUGAACCAGCCAAGUCGCGUGAGGGAUUAAGGCCCUGCGGGUCGUAAACCUCUUUUGCCGGGGAGCAGAGGUCGGGACGGGUCCGGGCCGGGAGAGUACCCGGAGAAAAAGCAUCGGCUAACUCCGUGCCAGCAGCCGCGGUAAUACGGAGGAUGCGAGCGUUAGCCGGAUUUAUUGGGUUUAAAGGGUGCGUAGGCGGGCAUUUAAGCCGGCGGUCAAAUGUCGGGGCUCAACCCCGGCCUGCCGUCGGAACUGGGUGCCUUGAGUGGGCGAGAAGUAUGCGGAAUGCGUGGUGUAGCGGUGAAAUACAUAGAUAUCACGCAGAACCCCGAUUGCGAAGGCAGCAUACCGGCGCCCUACUGACGCUGAGGCACGAAAGUGCGGGUAUCGAACAGGAUUAGAUACCCCAGUAGUC